AUUGAACGCUGGCGGAAUGCUUUACACAUGCAAGUCGAACGGCAGCACGGGGCAACCUGGUGGCGAGUGGCGAACGGGUGAGUAAUACAUCGGAACGUGCCCAAUCGUGGGGGAUAACGUAGCGAAAGUUACGCUAAUACCGCAUACGAUCUACGGAUGAAAGCGGGGGAUCGCAAGACCUCGCGCGAGUGGAGCGGCCGAUGUCAGAUUAGGUAGUUGGUGGGGUAAAGGCUCACCAAGCCAACGAUCUGUAGCUGGUCUGAGAGGACGACCAGCCACACUGGAACUGAGACACGGUCCAGACUCCUACGGGAGGCAGCAGUGGGGAAUUUUGGACAAUGGGCGCAAGCCUGAUCCAGCCAUUCCGCGUGCAGGAUGAAGGCCUUCGGUUGUAACUGCUUUGUACGGAACGAAACGGACGAGCUCUAAUACAGUUUGCUAAUGACGGUACCGUAAGAAUAAGACACCGGCUAACUACGUGCCAGCAGCCGCGGUAAU
RNAcentral lists this ribosomal RNA (498 nucleotides) under uncultured bacterium. RNAcentral describes it as "bacterial SSU rRNA". It matches the Rfam family "Bacterial small subunit ribosomal RNA", at positions 30 to 524 of the family's 1533-position model. The record is from RNAcentral.